GUCAGUAACAAAUAAUAGGAGGUACGCUCCAGACGUCACCACCUAUUAUUUGUUGUUUCGC
RNAcentral lists this non-coding RNA (61 nucleotides) under Spodoptera frugiperda (fall armyworm). The record is from RNAcentral. Lineage: Eukaryota; Metazoa; Arthropoda; Insecta; Lepidoptera; Noctuidae.